RNAcentral lists this ribosomal RNA (336 nucleotides) under uncultured Corticiales. RNAcentral's name for it is "eukaryotic LSU rRNA". The stretch from base 281 to 336 matches the Rfam family "Eukaryotic large subunit ribosomal RNA", at positions 1 to 56 of the family's 3401-position model. Lineage: Eukaryota; Fungi; Basidiomycota; Agaricomycetes. The record is from RNAcentral.
ACGCGAUCGAGUGAAUCAUCGAAUCUUUGAACGCACAUUGCACUGACAGUAAUCGGUCAGUAUGCCUGUUUGAGUAUCAUCCACACCUCAACGGCGAAGGUUGCUGAAAAGCCGUCUCCGCCUUGGAUCUGGGACGUCUAGGCUCGUGAGAGUCUAGUGUCCUCAAAUGGAUGACGUUCGGCGGAAGCUGAGAAGGAGCCACCUCGCCACGAGCGAUUCCUUCACCCAGCCGAGGCCUAGCGUCCUAAACACACCACCAAGGGUUAGCGCCUUGUACUCGUGAUCUCAAAUCAGGCAAGAUUACCCGCUGAACUUAAGCAUAUCAAUAAGCGGAGG